GGGGAGUUAGAGGUACCCAGUUUCACGGCUCCAGACCACCACCAGGAGGAGGUAGAGGUACCCAGUGUCACGGUUCCAGACCACCACCAGGGGGAGUUAGAGGUACCCAGUGUAACGGCUCCAGACCACCACCAGGGGGAGUUAAAGGUACCCAGUGUCACGGUUCCAGACCACCACCAGGGGGAGUUAGAGGUACCCAGUGUAACGGCUCCAGACCACCACCAGGGGGAGUUAGAGGUACCCAGUGUAACGGCUCCAGACCACCACCAGGGGGAGUUAGAGGUACCCAGUGUCACGGCUUCAUUGCUUCAGACCACCACCAGGGGAGUUAGAGGUACCCAGUGUCAUGGCUCCAGACCACCACCAGGGGGAGUUAGAGGUACCCAGUGUAACGGCUCCAGACCACCACCAGGGGGAGGUAGAGGUACUCAGUGUCACGGCU
This is a long non-coding RNA of Oncorhynchus tshawytscha (Chinook salmon), 442 nucleotides long. The record is from Ensembl. Lineage: Eukaryota; Metazoa; Chordata; Actinopteri; Salmoniformes; Salmonidae.